ACUCUCAGGAUUCACACCCACACGUGGUCCCAUGGCUCUUACAGGUGUUCGGCAGCCAGGGACAGCCACUCCUCUGAGGUGUAAGCAGUUUUCUCCCAGAGCAGGCACUGUGCUUCUCCUCUUGGGCUGUGCGGAACCCUGACCCUGGUUAUUGGCUUAAGACAACAAGGAAUGGUGCAUGAAGAUCUUGAGAAAGCCAAGAAUCAUUUUAGGAGGUGCCUAUCUCAGCCAAGAUGAACACCGAGCUUUGACGGCUUCUGUACAAAGUGGGACUUGAGAGUGGCAGCUUUCUUGGUUGGAGAACUGCUCAGGACAGGUAGCCGAUACACCUACCGAACUGCCUAGUGGGAGCUGGGGGAUCAUGUUCUCACCUGACUGGCAUUCCCAAUAGAAGUCCUCCUCUGAUCAGGCGUAUUCUUCACCAUUGAGCCACCAGGGACGCCAGCAGACGGCAGCUGGAUGAUAUGUAUGGCCCCCAGGAAGCCCUUCUGCACAUCUCUUGCUUUAUGUCCUGGAAAACUGCAUCAAACUGCAUGAAGGUGGUGUGCUGAACUCCAAGAAUGUCAGAGGCAAACAUCUUCUCAGAAAGCAGAAGGAUCUGAGCAGAAGUGCUUGGCUCCUGGUUCUGGAGAUAAGAAUAAGCACGGUAUUCACAACUCUUGCACGUAGAUACUGAAGCAUAUUUUACUGUAGUAAACAAUUCAUACGGCUCUUAGAUUUGUGUAUAUGCUGCUCAAGACACAGUAUGUGCGAAGCGUGACAUCAGCUCCUUACAUUGGUGACUAGUUGGAUGCUGAAUCAUAGAACUGAAAAUUGUUUAAUUUUUGUAAAAAUAUUAACUGUCUAAAUUUUCAAGAAAUUAAACAUUUCAGCUUUAAGUAUCUUUGAUUAAAAUAUUUUGUAUUCAUUAUUAUGAUUUAUAUUUUUGUUUAAUUUUGGUAGCAAUUUAAAAUAUUACAGAGAAGAAAUAACUUUUCACUGAACUCCUAUUGAAUUAUAAUUUUAAUUUUUUAAAUUUUUACACAUAUUUUUAUGGUAUUUUAAAAAUACAGGUACAUUCACAGUUAUUCCCUUGAAUAUACAUUUUAUUUUUUAAUUAUUAGAUAAUUAUUGUCCAUAGAAUAAUAUUUUGUAAAAAUGAGCAUGC
This is a long non-coding RNA of Capra hircus (goat), 1147 nucleotides long. RefSeq lists it as uncharacterized. The record is from RefSeq and is a predicted model, not a curated record. The transcript is spliced from 5 exons. NCBI's taxonomy places the organism in Eukaryota, Metazoa, Chordata, Mammalia, Artiodactyla, Bovidae.